RNAcentral lists this long non-coding RNA (864 nucleotides) under Astyanax mexicanus (Mexican tetra). RNAcentral describes it as "lncRNA (ENSAMXG00005006538.1)". The record is from RNAcentral. Lineage: Eukaryota; Metazoa; Chordata; Actinopteri; Characiformes; Acestrorhamphidae.
CUUGAAGUGAAUUAAAGGUCCUGCAUUUAUUUAAAUUCACCCUUUGCUGCAUUGCUAGCACCUCAUAACAGGGUUCCAAUUUAUAUACCGUAUUUUUGGCACUAUAGGGUGCACCGUAAUGUAAGGCGCACUAUCAAUGACCGUGUUUUUUUUUUUUUAGCCUAUUUACAUACAUAAGGAGACACUAUAAGGAACUUCUAAUUCAGCAGGUCUCGCUGCUGGGUGGUGGAGGGGGGAUAGCUAACUAAGUUAAGUUAAGCUAAGUAAACAAAGCUAUAAUAAUAAUUUAAAAAAAUCCAAUUAAAAGAGCUCUGGAUGUUAAUCUACAUAGAUUUCUCUCCUGAAAACUGUUUAUUUGGAUCAGCCUGCAACAAACUCGAGCUGCAGCUGAUCCGAAGUCACUAAAACGCUCUGAUGAUCUGAAAAACAUUUUGUACGAGCAAGGAACCGCGCUGGCUGAGAUGAAGACUCAGGUGAAGUUCAUAGAGAAGGAGAACGGAGACCUGAAAACCAAAAUGACCAGACAGAUCAAACGUUCCAGGCAAACUGAGAGUCAGCUGGAGAGCCUAAAGAAAGAAAUGGCAGCACAGUUGUCGGAGGUGUCUGUAAUAAGAAGCUCACUGGUGAAUGUUGAGGCUGAAAUGGGGAAACUGAAGAAGGAGAAUGAAGGUAAAACACUAAACUCCUCCAAAACUGCAGUAACAGAACACAGUCAGCGCUGAAUACAUCAGCCUGUCUCUAAAGUGUUUCAUUUCUAACAGAUCUGAAGAAGAAAGCGUCUACAGCUGAGGGUUAUCUGAAGACUCUAAAGAAGGAAAUCACAGGUAAACUAGGGGUUUUCAGGUUUUUUUUAAAGCCAUUAUA